RNAcentral lists this ribosomal RNA (251 nucleotides) under uncultured prokaryote. RNAcentral's name for it is "partial 16S rRNA". It matches the Rfam family "Bacterial small subunit ribosomal RNA", at positions 525 to 775 of the family's 1533-position model. The record is from RNAcentral.
ACGGAGGGUGCGAGCGUUAAUCGGAAUUACUGGGCGUAAAGCGUGCGUAGGCGGAUGGGUCAGUCAGCCGUGAAAGCCCCGGGCUUAACCUGGGAACGGCGGUUGAGACGGCCCGUCUUGAGUGGGGUAGAGGAUGGUGGAACUCCCGGUGUAGCGGUGAAAUGCGUAGAGAUUGGGAGGAACACCGAUGGCGAAGGCAGCGAUCUGGGGUCAAACUGACGCUGAGGCACGACGGCGUGGGGAGCAAACAG